This 882-nucleotide ribosomal RNA is filed under the name Salmonella enterica subsp. enterica serovar Oranienburg. Its description in RNAcentral is "bacterial LSU rRNA". It matches the Rfam family "Bacterial large subunit ribosomal RNA", at positions 725 to 1524 of the family's 2925-position model. The record is from RNAcentral. Lineage: Bacteria; Pseudomonadati; Pseudomonadota; Gammaproteobacteria; Enterobacterales; Enterobacteriaceae.
GUGAUCUAGCCAUGGGCAGGUUGAAGGUUGGGUAACACUAACUGGAGGACCGAACCGACUAAUGUUGAAAAAUUAGCGGAUGACCUGUGGCUGGGGGUGAAAGGCCAAUCAAACCGGGAGAUAGCUGGUUCUCCCCGAAAGCUAUUUAGGUAGCGCCUCGUGAAUUCAUCUCCGGGGGUAGAGCACUGUUUCGGCUAGGGGGCCAUCCCGGCUUACCAACCCGAUGCAAACUGCGAAUACCGGAGAAUGCUAUCACGGGAGACACACGGCGGGUGCUAACGUCCGUCGUGAAGAGGGAAACAACCCAGACCGCCAGCUAAGGUCCCAAAGUCAUGGUUAAGUGGGAAACGAUGUGGGAAGGCCCAGACAGCCAGGAUGUUGGCUUAGAAGCAGCCAUCAUUUAAAGAAAGCGUAAUAGCUCACUGGUCGAGUCGGCCUGCGCGGAAGAUGUAACGGGGCUAAACCAUGCACCGAAGCUGCGGCAGCGAACGUAUCACCCAAGACAACUUUACGGAGUUGACGAUUGACGGAGCGAAGCGACGUCAAAGCGUUCAUUAAAGUCGAGUUGGCUUAGGGAUACGUUCGUUGGGUAGGGGAGCGUUCUGUAAGCCGUUGAAGGUGGCCUGUGAGGGUUGCUGGAGGUAUCAGAAGUGCGAAUGCUGACAUAAGUAACGAUAAAGCGGGUGAAAAGCCCGCUCGCCGGAAGACCAAGGGUUCCUGUCCAACGUUAAUCGGGGCAGGGUGAGUCGACCCCUAAGGCGAGGCCGAAAGGCGUAGUCGAUGGGAAACGGGUUAAUAUUCCCGUACUUGGUGUUACUGCGAAGGGGGGACGGAGAAGGCUAUGUUGGCCGGGCGACGGUUGUCCCGGUUUAAGCGUGUAGG